CGUACUUCAGGGAUCAAGUGGAAUUGAUGCAUUUGAAAGGCACUUCCCAUUUGAUCAUUUGUUAUGGUUGGAUUAAGACAUAUGACAAAGAGCUUGCAGUAUCUAUUUGCAGUAACUACUUUAGGGCUGCAGAGGAUCUGAAGCUAUGCUUUUGUGAUUAUUUUCAUUCAAUAAUCCAAGAAAAUUCUGUUGACACGGAUAAAGUUGAACUUUAUACAAAGAUCAAGCUUACAAUUUGCUGCUUGCCUCUACGUACAUAAAAGAUUUAUGUCCUUCGAAGAGUUCGCCGCAGAGAAUUGUAUGUAUAGUUUAUGAACUUGAAGGAUGGUGAAGUGCUCUAGAAUACAAUUUCAGCCUGCCUUGCAUAAUCACUUUGUACAAGUAGAAUCCUUAGCCUGCAUGACA
This is a long non-coding RNA of Setaria italica (foxtail millet), 405 nucleotides long. RefSeq lists it as uncharacterized. The transcript has 3 exons. The record is from RefSeq and is a predicted model, not a curated record. NCBI's taxonomy places the organism in Eukaryota, Viridiplantae, Streptophyta, Magnoliopsida, Poales, Poaceae.